This 87-nucleotide transfer RNA is filed under the name Brenneria tiliae. Its description in RNAcentral is "tRNA-Leu". It matches the Rfam family "tRNA". Rfam says of the family: Transfer RNA (tRNA) molecules are approximately 80 nucleotides in length. RNAcentral also lists the same sequence under 1 other name. Lineage: Bacteria; Pseudomonadati; Pseudomonadota; Gammaproteobacteria; Enterobacterales; Pectobacteriaceae. The record is from RNAcentral.
GCCCGGGUGGUGGAAUCGGUAGACACAAGGGAUUUAAAAUCCCUCGGCGUUCGCGCUGUGUGGGUUCAAGUCCCACCCCGGGCACCA